AGGCCUAAUACAUGCAAGUCGAACGGCAGCACAGCAGAGCUUGCUCUGUGGGUGGCGAGUGGCGGACGGGUGAGGAAUACAUGGGAAUCUGCCCAGUCGUGGGGGAUAACGUAUGGAAACGUACGCUAAUACCGCAUGCGCCCUAAGGGGGAAAGCCGGGGACCGCAAGGCCUGGCGCGAUUGGAUGAGCCCAUGUUCGAUUAGCUAGUUGGCGGGGUAAAGGCCCACCAAGGCGACGAUCGAUAGCUGGUCUGAGAGGAUGAUCAGCCACACUGGAACUGAGACACGGUCCAGACUCCUACGGGAGGCAGCAGUAGGGAAUAUUGGACAAUGGGCGCAAGCCUGAUCCAGCCAUGCCGCGUGAGUGAAGAAGGCCCUCGGGUUGUAAAGCUC
RNAcentral lists this ribosomal RNA (393 nucleotides) under uncultured bacterium. RNAcentral describes it as "bacterial SSU rRNA". It matches the Rfam family "Bacterial small subunit ribosomal RNA", at positions 44 to 433 of the family's 1533-position model. The record is from RNAcentral.